UGGACUUAAAGAACACACCAGUCUGGAGGCC
This 31-nucleotide non-coding RNA is filed under the name Mus musculus (house mouse). The record is from RNAcentral. Lineage: Eukaryota; Metazoa; Chordata; Mammalia; Rodentia; Muridae.